Molecule: ribosomal RNA, 1029 nt
Filed under: Salmonella enterica subsp. enterica serovar Typhimurium
Lineage: Bacteria; Pseudomonadati; Pseudomonadota; Gammaproteobacteria; Enterobacterales; Enterobacteriaceae
Description: partial 23S ribosomal RNA
Rfam family: Bacterial large subunit ribosomal RNA
Source: RNAcentral
GCGUACCUUUUGUAUAAUGGGUCAGCGACUUAUAUUCUGUAGCAAGGUUAACCGAAUAGGGGAGCCGGAGGGAAACCGAGUCUUAAUUGGGCGUUAAGUUGCAGGGUAUAGACCCGAAACCCGGUGAUCUAGCCAUGGGCAGGUUGAAGGUUGGGUAACACUAACUGGAGGACCGAACCGACUAAUGUUGAAAAAUUAGCGGAUGACCUGUGGCUGGGGGUGAAAGGCCAAUCAAACCGGGAGAUAGCUGGUUCUCCCCGAAAGCUAUUUAGGUAGCGCCUCGUGAAUUCAUCUCCGGGGGUAGAGCACUGUUUCGGCUAGGGGGCCAUCCCGGCUUACCAACCCGAUGCAAACUGCGAAUACCGGAGAAUGUUAUCACGGGAGACACACGGCGGGUGCUAACGUCCGUCGUGAAGAGGGAAACAACCCAGACCGCCAGCUAAGGUCCCAAAGUCAUGGUUAAGUGGGAAACGAUGUGGGAAGGCCCAGACAGCCAGGAUGUUGGCUUAGAAGCAGCCAUCAUUUAAAGAAAGCGUAAUAGCUCACUGGUCGAGUCGGCCUGCGCGGAAGAUGUAACGGGGCUAAACCAUGCACCGAAGCUGCGGCAGCGAACGUAUCACCCAAGACAACUUUACGGAGUUGACGAUUGACGGAGCGAAGCGACGUCAAAGCGUUCAUUAAAGUCGAGUUGGCUUAGGGAUACGUUCGUUGGGUAGGGGAGCGUUCUGUAAGCCUGUGAAGGUGUGUCGUGAGGCAUGCUGGAGGUAUCAGAAGUGCGAAUGCUGACAUAAGUAACGAUAAAGCGGGUGAAAAGCCCGCUCGCCGGAAGACCAAGGGUUCCUGUCCAACGUUAAUCGGGGCAGGGUGAGUCGACCCCUAAGGCGAGGCCGAAAGGCGUAGUCGAUGGGAAACGGGUUAAUAUUCCCGUACUUGGUGUUACUGCGAAGGGGGGACGGAGAAGGCUAUGUUGGCCGGGCGACGGUUGUCCCGGUUUAAGCGUGUAGGUGUGUGUUCCAGGUAAAUCCGGUU